Pongo abelii (Sumatran orangutan) is the source of this 117-nucleotide unclassified non-coding RNA. It matches the Rfam family "Metazoan signal recognition particle RNA". Rfam says of the family: The signal recognition particle (SRP) is a universally conserved ribonucleoprotein. The record is from Ensembl. Lineage: Eukaryota; Metazoa; Chordata; Mammalia; Primates; Hominidae.
GCUGGGCGCGGUGGCUCACGCCUGUAAUCCCAGCACUUUGGGAGGCCGAGGCAGGCGGAUCACCUGAGGUCAGGAGUUCGAGACCAGCCUGACCAACAUGGAGAAACCCUGUCUCUA